GACGAACGCUGGCGGCGUGCUUAACACAUGCAAGUCGAACGGAAAGGCCCUGCUUUUGUGGGGUGCUCGAGUGGCGAACGGGUGAGUAACACGUGAGUAACCUGCCCUUGACUUUGGGAUAACUUCAGGAAACUGGGGCUAAUACCGGAUAGGAGCUCCUGCUGCAUGGUGGGGGUUGGAAAGUUUCGGCGGUUGGGGAUGGACUCGCGGCUUAUCAGCUUGUUGGUGGGGUAGUGGCUUACCAAGGCUUUGACGGGUAGCCGGCCUGAGAGGGUGACCGGCCACAUUGGGACUGAGAUACGGCCCAGACUCCUACGGGAGGCAGCAGUGGGGAAUAUUGCACAAUGGGCGGAAGCCUGAUGCAGCAACGCCGCGUACGGGAUGACGGCCUUCGGGUGGUAAACCGCUUUCGCCUGUGACGAAGCGUGAGUGACGGUAAUGGGUAAAGAAGCACCGGCUAACUACGU
Molecule: ribosomal RNA, 467 nt
Filed under: uncultured bacterium
Lineage: Bacteria
Description: partial 16S ribosomal RNA
Rfam family: Bacterial small subunit ribosomal RNA
Source: RNAcentral